Molecule: ribosomal RNA, 448 nt
Filed under: uncultured bacterium
Lineage: Bacteria
Description: bacterial SSU rRNA
Rfam family: Bacterial small subunit ribosomal RNA
Source: RNAcentral
UCGAGAAUUUUUCUCAAUGGGCGAAAGCCUGAAGGAGCGACGCCGCGUGGGGGAUGAAUGGCUUCGGCCCGUAAACCCCUGUCAUUCGGGAUCAAUGCCUGUCAUUUAACAGAUGGCAGGUUGAUAGUACCGGAAGAGGAAGGGACGGCUAACUCUGUGCCAGCAGCCGCGGUAAUACAGAGGUCCCAAGCGUUGUUCGGAUUCACUGGGCGUAAAGGGUGCGUAGGUGGCAGGGCAAGUCUGGCGUGAAAUCUCCGAGCCUAACUCGGAAACGGCGUCGGAAACUGCCCCACUAGAGGAUUGGAGGGGAGACUGGAAUACUUGGUGUAGCAGUGAAAUGCGUAGAUAUCAAGUGGAACACCAGUGGCGAAGGCGAGUCUCUGGACAAUUCCUGACACUGAGGCACGAAAGCUAGGGGAGCAAACGGGAUUAGAUACCCCCGUAGUCC